UUCCGGUUUUCAUGGGGGGGGGGGGCCCCCUCUAUAGGAGGGUUUUGCCCGCUCAGAUUGAACGCUGGCGGCAGGCCUAACACAUGCAAGUCGAACGGUAGCACAGAGAGCUUGCUCUCGGGUGACGAGUGGCGGACGGGUGAGUAAUGUCUGGGAAACUGCCUGAUGGAGGGGGAUAACUACUGGAAACGGUAGCUAAUACCGCAUAACGUCGCAAGACCAAAGAGGGGGACCUUCGGGCCUCUUGCCAUCAGAUGUGCCCAGAUGGGAUUAGCUAGUAGGUGGGGUAACGGCUCACCUAGGCGACGAUCCCUAGCUGGUCUGAGAGGAUGACCAGCCACACUGGAACUGAGACACGGUCCAGACUCCUACGGGAGGCAGCAGUGGGGAAUAUUGCACAAUGGGCGCAAGCCUGAUGCAGCCAUGCCGCGUGUAUGAAGAAGGCCUUCGGGUUGUAAAGUACUUUCAGCGGGGAGGAAGGCGAUAAGGUUAAUAACCUCAUCGAUUGACGUUACCCGCAGAAGAAGCACCGGCUAACUCCGUGCCAGCAGCCGCGGUAAUACGGAGGGUGCAAGCGUUAAUCGGAAUUACUGGGCGUAAAGCGCACGCAGGCGGUCUGUCAAGUCGGAUGUGAAAUCCCCGGGCUCAACCUGGGAACUGCAUUCGAAACUGGCAGGCUAGAGUCUUGUAGAGGGGGGUAGAAUUCCAGGUGUAGCGGUGAAAUGCGUAGAGAUCUGGAGGAAUACCGGUGGCGAAGGCGGCCCCCUGGACAAAGACUGACGCUCAGUGCGAAAAGACGGG
This 801-nucleotide ribosomal RNA is filed under the name Klebsiella oxytoca. RNAcentral describes it as "bacterial SSU rRNA". It matches the Rfam family "Bacterial small subunit ribosomal RNA", at positions 1 to 765 of the family's 1533-position model. The record is from RNAcentral. Lineage: Bacteria; Pseudomonadati; Pseudomonadota; Gammaproteobacteria; Enterobacterales; Enterobacteriaceae.